AGCAAACCUAAAACCAGUAAAUAUAUAUAUAUAUAUAUAUAUAUAUAUAUAUACCUUAGAUUAAAAAAAAUACAAGUGGGUUAGGGGAAAGAAAGCUUUUUAAAAGGAGAGUUAAUUUCAAUUAAAAACAUCAAUGAAGGCAAAGGUGAAAAGAGCUACAUCAUACCUAUGACAUCAAUUCUCACCUAAGUAGUAAAAUCCAGGUUUUGAACUUGGCCAAGGAAUGGCUGCUCUUGGAGAUGGCAGCACUGAGCUGCAUGGAAGCAUGCUCACAGGCUCAUGGAACGUGUGGGACUAUUUAAGUGUUCAGCAAUCUGAAUGUAGAUCAUGGGGCCAGAGUUCCAGAUGCUUUAAUUUGAAGACUAUCUUAAGACGAAUUCAAUAACAGACUAUCAGCAGUCCAAUAAAUUCUUAAUUUCUUCUUAACACUAUGAAUAAAUUGUUUGGUACCAAUAAUUCGAAUGCAGCUUGAUUUGCUUCUGUAUACCCAGUACUGAACAGCUCUUCUGUUCCUACAGUAGCUAAAACCCAUAAAGUAAAAACACAAAUGGCAAAGAAAAUUAGAGUCAAACCUAUGAUUAGUGACGUUUGUGAAUCUCAAAGAAAGAGCAAACACAUUUUAAAGAGACAAGUAGACAAACAAAGAAAGGUAUAGCUCAUGGUAGAAGUUGCCACUACUUGAAGUUUAACAUAUCUCAUCACUUCAUAUUAACAUACCCAUUAGUUCAUAUUAACUACUACCUUUAUAGGUUUCCAGACUUUCCAUCCACAAAUAUGGAUUUCCAAUUCUAUCUUUCCUAAUAAUUUGGUAUGAUAUAUCUAUUACAUGACAUUCAAGCAGACUAUCUCUGCAAUGAACAGGAUGAUUAUUCAGUGGGUACCCAGCUGUGUCAGGCAUCUAUGUGCUCAACUUCUGUGCUUUAGUCUGAGUAGAAACAUAAUGCAUAGAAUAAAAUUUACUUAUUAUACUGUAGAUUAUACCUCUGAUUCAUUACUAAGAGGUCCCAUUAUAAAUGGAUUAACAUAACAUAAAAAUAUGAAAUUCUGUGGGGAAAUGAAAUGAGGUCUAUCAAAACUAAAAGUAAUUGAGGUGAAAGUUAUAAUUAAAACAUGGGAAUGUAGAGCCUUUGAGUAUGUAGACAGUAAUAGAUCAUAAGUUACCUCUUUUUGCCCAUUUUUGUACGGUUUUACUUUUAAUAACAUGCCACACCGCACACAUCCAUACAUACACACAAGCACAUAUUUUAACAGAAAAAUUAUAUUAUUUAAGAUUAAGAUUUGCCAUAUGCAAAGUUAACACAUUUUCAAAGUAAUGUUGAGAUGGGCUGUAAAACUGAAGGUUCUUAACUAACUUUGAGAAGUAGCAAAAUUUAAACUGUAUCAAAGUGGAAUUUAGAAAUAUAAAAAACUAGCAACAAAAAUCUCCUAAACUUCUUACUCAAAGUUAGUACUUUUCCUUCACAUUGAAAAUACAAGGCCUCACUAACUUUCAGUAUUAACUAAAUUAUCAUCAUUUACCAAAACACAAGAAAGAUAAAGAUCUAAAAUCAUCUCAGUUUGUAUAACACAUUUUUUGAUGGAUCUGUGAUUCUCAGGAUACAAUAUAUUCCACUUAAAAACAGAGAGAUAAAUAUUUAGAAAAGACUAACUUGGGGGAAAAUAUACUAGGAUUAAAACAAGAUAUUUUUUAGCUUUCUAGACUUUCAUAUUUUCUUAUAUAAAAAAUAUUUCCAUAAAAUAAAAUAUAAUUUUAUACACAACCCCACCUAUUCUAAGUUCACAUCUGCUGAAUAAAAAGUGUAACCUUUUCUACUGCCUGAUUCUGAUGUGUAAGUGCUCAUUGGGAGCAGCUCCCUUUUGUAUGUACACAGACACUGUUUGCAAACAAAAUACAAAGUCACAGGAGCUAUUAGGAAGGAAACUUCUCUGCUAAGAAUCAAUGAAACACAACAACCUAGGUAUAAGUCUGCAUAGCUCAAAAAAUUCAAGUACAGUAUUUCUCCUUUAGAAGGAGUGAAAAUGCCAUACAGUUUUGAAUCCCUCAUUUUUCUUCCUUUCAUUCAUUGGCCAUACCAAAAGAAAAACUAAAUAUAUUUUUCAAUCAAAUUAAAAACUACUGAUCUUAAUAGUGGAAAAACAUUCAUUCAAAGCUCACCAUGCUAACCAUUACUUCAAUUUGCUCCUUUCCACAUUCUUUUUGUUCCUUUAAGGUACUAUGGUGAACAUCAAAU
Molecule: long non-coding RNA, 2231 nt
Organism: Dipodomys spectabilis (banner-tailed kangaroo rat)
Lineage: Eukaryota; Metazoa; Chordata; Mammalia; Rodentia; Heteromyidae
Exons: 2
Source: RefSeq, a predicted model, not a curated record